RNAcentral lists this ribosomal RNA (465 nucleotides) under uncultured bacterium. Its description in RNAcentral is "partial 16S ribosomal RNA". It matches the Rfam family "Bacterial small subunit ribosomal RNA", at positions 338 to 795 of the family's 1533-position model. The record is from RNAcentral.
CCUACGGGUGGCAGCAGUAGGGAAUCUUCCACAAUGGACGAAAGUCUGAUGGAGCAACGCCGCGUGAGGGAAGAAGGGUUUAGGCUCGGAAAGCUCUGUUGGUAGUGAAGAAAGAUAGAGGUAGUAACUGGCCUUUAUUUGACGGUAAUUACUUAGAAAGGCACGGCUAACUACGUGCCAGCAGCCGAGGUAAUACGUAGGGGGCAAGCGUUGUCCGGAUUUAUUGGGCGUAAAGCGAGUGCAGGCGGUUCAAUAAGUCUGAUGUGAAAGCCUUCGGCUCAACCGGAGAAUUGCAUCAGAGACUGUUGGACUUGAGUGCAGAAGAGGAGAGUGGAACUCCAUGUGUAGCGGUGGAAUGCGUAGAUAUAUGGAAGAACACCAGUGGCGAAGGCGGCUCUCUGGUCUGCCACUGACGCUGAGGCUCGAAAGCAUGGGUAGCGAACAGGAUUAGAUACCCCAGUAGUC